CCGCAUCGGGAUGGGCCCGCGGCGCAUUAGCUUGUUGGUGAGGUAACGGCUCACCAAGGCGACGAUGCGUAGCUGGUCUGAGAGGACGAUCAGCCACACUGGGACUGAGACACGGCCCAG
RNAcentral lists this ribosomal RNA (120 nucleotides) under uncultured bacterium. RNAcentral describes it as "partial 16S ribosomal RNA". It matches the Rfam family "Bacterial small subunit ribosomal RNA", at positions 215 to 334 of the family's 1533-position model. The record is from RNAcentral.